GAUGAACGCUGGCGGCGUGCCUAAUACAUGCAAGUCGAGCGGACGGACGAGAAGCUUGCUUCUCUGAUGUUAGCGGCGGACGGGUGAGUAACACGUGGAUAACCUACAUAUAAGACUGGGAUAACUUCGGGAAACCGGAGCUAAUACCGGAUAAUAUUUUGAACCGCAUGGUUCAAAAGUGAAAGACGGUCUUGCUGUCACUUAUAGAUGGAUCCGCGCUGCAUUAGCUAGUUGGUAAGGUAACGGCUUACCAAGGCAACGAUGCAUAGCCGACCUGAGAGGGUGAUCGGCCACACUGGAACUGAGACACGGUCCAGACUCCUACGGGAGGCAGCAGUAGGGAAUCUUCCGCAAUGGGCGAAAGCCUGACGGAGCAACGCCGCGUGAGUGAUGAAGGUCUUCGGAUCGUAAAACUCUGUUAUUAGGGAAGAACAUAUGUGUAAGUAACUGUGCACAUCUUGACGGUACCUAAUCAGAAAGCCACGGCUAACUACGUG
Molecule: ribosomal RNA, 497 nt
Filed under: uncultured bacterium
Lineage: Bacteria
Description: partial 16S ribosomal RNA
Rfam family: Bacterial small subunit ribosomal RNA
Source: RNAcentral